This 294-nucleotide ribosomal RNA is filed under the name uncultured bacterium. RNAcentral describes it as "partial 16S ribosomal RNA". It matches the Rfam family "Bacterial small subunit ribosomal RNA", at positions 775 to 1066 of the family's 1533-position model. The record is from RNAcentral.
GGAUUAGAUACCCUGGUAGUCCACGCCGUAAACGAUGAUAACUAGCUGUCCGGACACUUGGUGUUUGGGUGGCGCAGCUAACGCAUUAAGUUAUCCGCCUGGGGAGUACGGCCGCAAGGUUAAAACUCAAAUGAAUUGACGGGGGCCUGCACAAGCGGUGGAGCAUGUGGUUUAAUUCGAAGCAACGCGCAGAACCUUACCAGCGUUUGACAUGGCAGGACGACUUCCAGAGAUGGAUUUCUUCCCUUCGGGGACCUGCACACAGGUGCUGCAUGGCUGUCGUCAGCUCGUGCC